RNAcentral lists this ribosomal RNA (469 nucleotides) under uncultured bacterium. Its description in RNAcentral is "partial 16S ribosomal RNA". It matches the Rfam family "Bacterial small subunit ribosomal RNA", at positions 28 to 507 of the family's 1533-position model. The record is from RNAcentral.
GACGAACGCUGGCGGCGUGCUUAACACAUGCAAGUCGAACGGUGAAGCGAGUGCUUGCACUCGUGGAUCAGUGGCGAACGGGUGAGUAACACGUGAGUAACCUGCCCAUCACUCUGGGAUAAGCACUGGAAACGGUGUCUAAUACUGGAUACGACCAACCCUUGCAUGGGGUGUUGGUGGAAAGAUUUAUCGGUGAUGGAUGGACUCGCGGCCUAUCAGCUUGUUGGCGGGGUAAUGGCCCACCAAGGCGACGACGGGUGGCCGGCCUGAGAGGGUGACCGGCCACACUGGGACUGAGACACGGCCCAGACUCCUACGGGAGGCAGCAGUGGGGAAUAUUGCACAAUGGGCGAAAGCCUGAUGCAGCGACGCCGCGUGAGGGAUGACGGCCUUCGGGUUGUAAACCUCUUUCAGCAGGGAAGAAGCGAAAGUGACGGUACCUGCAGAAGAAGCACCGGCUAACUACGUG